RNAcentral lists this unclassified non-coding RNA (155 nucleotides) under uncultured fungus. Its description in RNAcentral is "sequence contains ITS1, 5.8S rRNA gene". Lineage: Eukaryota; Fungi. The record is from RNAcentral.
CUGAGUUUUUAACUCCAAACCACUGUGAACUUACCACUGUUGCCUCGGCGGCAGGUCUCCCGGUUCUUGUCAUGAGAAUUGGUUGGCGGCCGCCGGUGGACUACCAAACUCUUAUUACUAAGAAUCUAUUCUGAAUUUUAAAACUUAAUAAGUUA